GCAUAUUAGCCUUUUAUUAUAUAGGACUAGAGGCCCGGUGCACAAAAAUUUGUGUCUCAUAGUGGACCCAUGCCAGAGGAAGUUGAAGCCUCAAACCAUUGCCCAGCCUCAUUACCCUUGGGCUGUGAGCACUGAAGGGGGCUGUACAGUA
This 151-nucleotide small nucleolar RNA is filed under the name Myotis lucifugus (little brown bat). RNAcentral's name for it is "Small nucleolar RNA SNORA42/SNORA80 family (ENSMLUG00000022589.1)". Lineage: Eukaryota; Metazoa; Chordata; Mammalia; Chiroptera; Vespertilionidae. The record is from RNAcentral.